Molecule: non-coding RNA, 42 nt
Filed under: Schistosoma margrebowiei
Lineage: Eukaryota; Metazoa; Platyhelminthes; Trematoda; Strigeidida; Schistosomatidae
Source: RNAcentral
AAGCUGACGAGUCCCAAAUAGGACGAAACAUGCGUCCUGGAU